UUUGUACUCCCUCCGUCCCAAAAUUCUUGUCUUAAAUUUUUCUAAAUACGGAUGUAUCUAGUUACAUUUUAGUGUUAGAUACAUCCGUAUCUAAACAAAUGUAAGACAAGAAUUUUGGGACGGAGGGAAUACUAC
Molecule: non-coding RNA, 135 nt
Organism: Triticum aestivum (bread wheat)
Lineage: Eukaryota; Viridiplantae; Streptophyta; Magnoliopsida; Poales; Poaceae
Source: Rfam